RNAcentral lists this ribosomal RNA (335 nucleotides) under Geastrum mirabile. Its description in RNAcentral is "eukaryotic LSU rRNA". The stretch from base 1 to 106 matches the Rfam family "5.8S ribosomal RNA", at positions 50 to 154 of the family's 154-position model. The record is from RNAcentral. Lineage: Eukaryota; Fungi; Basidiomycota; Agaricomycetes; Geastrales; Geastraceae.
GAACGUGCGAAACGUAAUGUGAAUUGCAGAAUUCAGUGAAUCAUCGAAUCUUUGAACGCAUCUUGCGCUCCUUGGCAUUCCGAGGAGCAUGCCUGUUUGAGUGUCGUGAAGUACUCAAUUUCAAAUAUUUUUUGUUUGAAAAUUGGAUUUGAAUGGUGUUGUGGGGUCACACACAACUCAUUCUAAAUGCAUUAGCGGUCUGAUCUUGAUCACGCACAAUGUGAUAAGAAAACAAAGCAUUGUCAGUGUCGAGUUAAAGUCGCUUCCAACUGUCGAAAGACAAUCAUUUUAUGUCAUUUGACCUCAAAUCAGGUAGGACUACCCGCUGAACUUAA